Molecule: ribosomal RNA, 448 nt
Filed under: uncultured bacterium
Lineage: Bacteria
Description: SSU rRNA
Rfam family: Bacterial small subunit ribosomal RNA
Source: RNAcentral
AGAGCGAACGCUGGCGGCAGGCCUAACACAUGCAAGUCGAGCGCCCGUAGCAAUACGGGAGCGGCAGACGGGAUAGUAACACGUGGGAACGCGCCCUUCGGUUCGGAAUAACUCAGGGAAACUUGAGCUAAUACCGGAUACGCCCUUACGGGGAAAGAUUUAUUGCCGAAGGAACGGCCCGCGUCCGAUUAGCUAGUUGGUGAGGUAAUGGCUCACCAAGGCGACGAUCGGUAGCUGGUCUGAGAGGAUGACCAGCAUCACUGGGACUGAGACACGGCCCAGACUCCUACGGGAGGCAGCAGUGGGGAAUAUGGACAAUGGGCGCAAGCCUGAUCCAGCCAUGCCGCGUGGAUGAUGAAGGCCUUAGGGUUGUAAAGUCCUUUUAACGGGGAAGAUAAUGACGGUACCGUAGAAGUAAGCCCCGGCUAACCUUCGUGCCAGCAGCCGC